Molecule: ribosomal RNA, 251 nt
Filed under: uncultured bacterium
Lineage: Bacteria
Description: partial 16S ribosomal RNA
Rfam family: Bacterial small subunit ribosomal RNA
Source: RNAcentral
UACGAAGGGGGCUAGCGUUGUUCGGAUUUACUGGGCGUAAAGCGCACGUAGGCGGACUUUUAAGUCAGGGGUGAAUCCGGGCGUCAACCCCGGAACUGCCUUUGAUACUGGAAGUCUUGAGUUCGAGAGAGGUGAGUGGAAUUGCGAGUGUAGAGGUGAAAUUCGUAGAUAUUCGCAGGAACACCAGUGGCGAAGGCGGCUCACUGGCUCGAUACUGACGCUGAGGUGCGAAAGCGUGGGGAGCAAACAGG